Molecule: ribosomal RNA, 253 nt
Filed under: uncultured bacterium
Lineage: Bacteria
Description: partial 16S ribosomal RNA
Rfam family: Bacterial small subunit ribosomal RNA
Source: RNAcentral
UACGGGGGGAGCAAGCGUUGUUCGGAUUUACUGGGCGUAAAGGGCGCGUAGGCGGCGUGACAAGUCACUUGUGAAAUCUCCGGGCUUAACUCGGAACGGUCAAGUGAUACUGUCGUGCUAGAGUACAGAAGGGGCAACUGGAAUUCUCGGUGUAGCGGUGAAAUGCGUAGAUAUCGAGAGGAACACCUGCGGCGAAGGCGGCUCUCUGGGACGGUACUGACGCUGAGACGCGAAAGCGUGGGGAGCGAACAGG